GACGAACGCUGGCGGCGUGCUUAACACAUGCAAGUCGAACGGAAAGGCCCUGCUUUUGUGGGGUGCUCGAGUGGCGAACGGGGGAGUAACACGUGAGUAAACUGCCCUUGACUUUGGGAUAACUUCAGGAAACUGGGGCUAAUACCGGAUAGGAGCUCCUGCUGCAUGGUGGUGGUUGGAAAGUUUCGGCGGUUGGGGCUGGACUCGCGGCUUAUCCGCUUGUUGGUGGGGUAGUGGCUUACCAAGGCUUUGACGGGUAGCCGGCCUGGGAGGGUGACCGGCCACAUUGGGACUGAGGGACGGCCCAGACUCCUACGUGAGGCAGCGGUGGGGAAUAUUGCACAAUGGGCGGAAGCCUGAGGCAGCAACGCCGCGUGCGGGAUGACGGCCUUCUGGUUGUAAACCGCUUUCGCCUGUGACGAAGCGUGAGUGACGGUAAUGGGUAAAGAAGCACCGGCUAACUACGUG
This 468-nucleotide ribosomal RNA is filed under the name uncultured bacterium. RNAcentral describes it as "partial 16S ribosomal RNA". It matches the Rfam family "Bacterial small subunit ribosomal RNA", at positions 28 to 507 of the family's 1533-position model. The record is from RNAcentral.